Molecule: ribosomal RNA, 500 nt
Filed under: uncultured bacterium
Lineage: Bacteria
Description: partial 16S ribosomal RNA
Rfam family: Bacterial small subunit ribosomal RNA
Source: RNAcentral
GAUGAACGCUAGCGGCAGGCCUAAUACAUGCAAGUCGAACGGUAACAUGAGUAGCAAUACUUGAUGACGAGUGGCGCACGGGUGCGUAACGCGUAUGCAAUCUACCUUUAACUGGUGAAUAGCCCGAAGAAAUUCGGAUUAAUACACCAUAGUAUAUUUGAAUGGCAUCAUUUAAAUAUUAAAACUCCGGUGGUUAAAGAUGAGCAUGGGUGACAUUAGCUAGUUGGUGAGGUAAUGGCUCACCAAGGCUACGAUGUCUAGGGGAUCUGAGAGGAUUAACCCCACCAGUGGAACUGGGACACGUACCAGACUCCUACGGGAGGCAGCAGUAACGAAUAUUGGACAAUGGUCGAAAGACUGAUCCAGCCAUUCCGCGUGAAGGAUGACGGCCCUAUGGGUUGUAAACUUCUUUUGUAUGGGAAAAAACCCUUCUACGUGUAGAAGGCUGAUGGUACCAUAAGAAUAAGGAUCGGCUAACUCCGUGCCAGCCGCCGCCGUAA